Molecule: non-coding RNA, 108 nt
Organism: Acanthosepion pharaonis
Lineage: Eukaryota; Metazoa; Mollusca; Cephalopoda; Sepiida; Sepiidae
Source: the annotation of a GenBank genome assembly
ACCAUAUUACACUGAAAUACCGGUUCUCGUACGAUCACAGAAGUUAAGCAACGUCGAGCCAGGUCGGUACCUACAUGGAUAACCGCUUGGGAAUACCAAGUGCUGUAA